UUUUCGGUCAUCCUGAAUUAAUUCUUCAACUUCGUUCAAAAUACCCUCUCGUAAUUUACAAAUGUCAGAAUCUAAAAAACAGUAUCGUUGAUUUUCGUGUGUUUUCAUUCAAUAUGUAUGUUUUCGAAUGAAUUGGUAGUGUUGGGGAGAGGAUGACAUUUGAUAGCUGGGCAUCAGUAAUAAUAUUCAUACUCAACUUUUACACAUCCUGUAGGGACAUCUCAAAAUUUUGAGCCAAGAACUUAAUAAUUUGUUCUAAAUUAGCACUUCCAAUUUAUACUUUUAUCAAGAAUGGGUUAGGUGAAAUAUUCUCAGUCAACUGUUACUCAUCAAUGAAACUUGGCGAAUGAACCAUCGUCGAUCAAAGGCUUUUUAUUAAAUCAAUCAAAGAGUCUCUAUAGAUAAACUCUAUGCUAGUCUCUGAGUUAACGGCAAUUGAAGUAAUGAUGGUAAAGCUUUUUAAUUCAGUACAAACAAUUCCAUUUUAAUUUCAAUUUAUACUUUAUUUUAUCAACUGCUAGCGAUUUUACAAUUAUCUCUCUUUGGCAGCAGAAUACUACCAUGAACUGAUUAUUUAACUUAUUUGAAUAUUACCGAUUAUAGGUGUAUAAGGAAAAAAAAUGUGAUUCCUAUAAUCAGUCAUUUUUUAUAUUUUAAUAAUCUUCCCUUCAAUUAGAACUUUGAAAUUUUGAUAAAUUACAUUUUAUUGGUAAUAA
Molecule: non-coding RNA, 716 nt
Organism: Schizosaccharomyces pombe (fission yeast)
Lineage: Eukaryota; Fungi; Ascomycota; Schizosaccharomycetes; Schizosaccharomycetales; Schizosaccharomycetaceae
Source: the annotation of a GenBank genome assembly